GCCGUUGUAGUGCAAUGGUAGCAUGUUGCUUUCCUAAGGCAAAGGUUGCAAGUUUGAGUCUUGCUGUUGGUU
Non-coding RNA from Gymnopilus junonius, 72 nucleotides. NCBI's taxonomy places the organism in Eukaryota, Fungi, Basidiomycota, Agaricomycetes, Agaricales, Galerinaceae. The record is from the annotation of a GenBank genome assembly.